Molecule: small RNA, 82 nt
Filed under: Flavobacterium degerlachei
Lineage: Bacteria; Pseudomonadati; Bacteroidota; Flavobacteriia; Flavobacteriales; Flavobacteriaceae
Description: Flavo-1 RNA
Rfam family: Flavo-1 RNA
Source: RNAcentral
CUAUCGCUCGUGUGCAGUGGAAAUCCUUUCUAUUUUUUUUCUUUAAAAAAUAGAAAGAUUGCAACGUAAAGCCCGAUUCGCC